GAACCCCUGAUCUAUAACCAACAUGCCCAUAGGGGGGUGGGGGUGGGGGAUGUUUGGGAACCCCUGAUCUAUAACCAACAUGCCCAUAGGGGGGUGGGGGUGGGGGAUGUUUGGGAACCCCUGAUCUAUAACCAAAUCAAAGACGUGAAAGUCGAUGCCAAACCACAAAACCCCCGGAUAGGACAACUGAGGUAUUUCAGAUUAGACUCACACACACACACACACACACACACACACACACACACACACACACACACACACACACACACACAGAGAGACACGUGCAAGUGCGCACACACACACACACACACACACACAGAGACACGUGCAAGUGCGCUCACACACACACACACACACCCUGCCAUCUUGCUAUAGACAGAUCUAUAAAUUCAAGCCCCGGCUCUGCAUAUACAUACAAUCUGACCAUUAUGUAGAGAUGAAGACACUGUACCAGUUAGGUGAGUUAGUUGAUAUGCCAUCGCUUACCGUUCCCACUGUUUAUACCAUAGGACUCUGGAUGGAUGGGUUCUAACCGUUACUGUUCAUAACUGUUUAUACCAUAGGACUCUGGAUGGAUGGGUUCUAACCAUU
Molecule: long non-coding RNA, 591 nt
Organism: Oncorhynchus keta (chum salmon)
Lineage: Eukaryota; Metazoa; Chordata; Actinopteri; Salmoniformes; Salmonidae
Exons: 3
Source: RefSeq, a predicted model, not a curated record